CAAAAAGUAGGAGGAAAUUUAGGGUAUGUCUAGUCAUUGAUUUCAAACAUGAAAUUAUGAUUUAAUUUGAAAAUUAGGUUAAUUUGCUUUGAUUUUUAUACUUUUAUUUACCUAAAGGGUUCCAAAUAGUAGUAGUAAUUAGUUUUAUUGGGUUUACGAAUUGUAUGAUAUAGUAAUAGCUAUUAGUUCUAACAAAUAUUUGUGCCAGCAGUUGCGGUUAUACAAAAGGUGCUACUUAAUUUUUGUGGUUUUAGUUAAUUAAUUGUUAAUUUAGAAUAUUUAUAUUGGGAGGUGAAAUUUUAAUAGAAAAUAAAGGAUAAAAAAAUAAGAUGAUCUAGGAAAAUAUUAUUUUAAACCAGGAUUAGAUACCCUGUUAUUGAUAUCGUAAUUAUUGGAACCUGAUUAGUAUUAGUUAAGUGCUUGAAAAUUAAAUAUCUUGGCGGUACUUGAACCUACCAGAGGAACCUGUCCUGUAAUUGAUAGUCCACAAUUUAUUUUACUUUUAUAUUGCUUGUAUAUCGUUGUUGAAAUGAAUAUUUCUAAAGAAGAAUAAUUUUCUUUAAAUAAAAUUUUAUUUUAGAUCAAAUCAAGGUGCAGCUUUUAAAAGGAGAGAUGGGUUACAUUAAUAAGUUAAAAUUUGUAAAAUUUUUUCUAUUAGGAUUUGGUAGUAAUUUUAUUUAUUAAAAUUAAAUGAAUUGGGAUCUAUAGUAUGCACAUAUCGCCCGUCGCUUUCAUGAAUUUGUGGAAUAAGUCGUAACAUAGUAGAUCUAUCGGAAGAUGGGUCUGGAAUGAC
RNAcentral lists this non-coding RNA (793 nucleotides) under Cryptocephalus cantabricus. Lineage: Eukaryota; Metazoa; Arthropoda; Insecta; Coleoptera; Chrysomelidae. The record is from RNAcentral.